CUAAGAAUCUUCCGCAAUGGGGGCAACCCUGACGGAGCGACGCCGCGUGGACGAUGAAGGCCGGAAGGUUGUAAAGUCCUUUUCUCUGAGAAGAAUAAUGUUGGGAGUGGAAUGCCCGACAGAUGACGUUAUCAGAGGAAUAAGCCCCGGCCAAUUACGUGCCAGCAGCCGCGGUAACACGUAUGGGGCGAGCGUUGUUCGGAAUUAUUGGGCGUAAAGGGCGUGUAGGCGGCUUGUUAAGCUUGGUGUUAAAGGCUUCGGCUCAACCGAGGUUUAGCGCUGAGAACUGGCAGGCUAGAGUUCUGGAGGGGGAGCUGGAAUUCCAGGUGUAGGGGUGAAAUCUGUAGAUAUCUGGAAGAACACCGGUGGCGAAGGCGAGCUCCUGGCCAUGGACUGACGCUGAGGCGCGAAAGCGUGGGGAGCGAACA
RNAcentral lists this ribosomal RNA (428 nucleotides) under uncultured bacterium. RNAcentral's name for it is "bacterial SSU rRNA". It matches the Rfam family "Bacterial small subunit ribosomal RNA", at positions 355 to 774 of the family's 1533-position model. The record is from RNAcentral.